RNAcentral lists this long non-coding RNA (731 nucleotides) under Rattus norvegicus (Norway rat). RNAcentral's name for it is "long non-coding RNA NONRATT002477". The record is from RNAcentral. Lineage: Eukaryota; Metazoa; Chordata; Mammalia; Rodentia; Muridae.
GUCCGCCAUUCUCCGUAGCGCCCCUCCAACGGGUGGAGGCCUCCCUAGUCUGGGGAGAGUGGCAGAGUGUUGCCGGGCGUCCAGGGACCGUGUUGGGAGGCAACUAAGGCGUCGCACGCGCCAAAAGCCAGAAAAAGGGGCUUCCGGGAACCCGGGCGCCUCGAAGUCCUCUGCGGGGCGAAGCCGCACCUGAGCUCGCGGGCCUGCAGUGCGCGUGCGCGGCCGGGGCUUUCCCGCACCUGCUCGCGAGACCCUCAACGGCCGGCGGCUCGACGACUGGCGCGCGGCGCGGGCAGCAGGUUAUGGCGCAGCUAUGUGAGCCGCGGCGGGGCCGGGCGCUUCUCGCCCUGUUAGCCUCGCUGCUUCUCUCCGGGGCCCAGGCGGCCAGCAGAGACCUAGACGUCCACGAGAACACCAUUGAUGGUCUGGCCAGGAGCAGUGAUGGCGCUUCUGCCCUGAGCGUUCCCAGAAAGCAGGAUUCUGCGGACCUCGCUGGUGAGAUCUUCAACUAUGAAGAAUACUGUGUCCCAAAGGCGGUCACUGGGCCUUGCCGCGCAGCCUUCCCUCGCUGGUACUAUGAUGUUGAAAAGAAUUCCUGUAGCAGCUUCAUCUAUGGCGGGUGCAGAGGCAACAAGAACAGUUACCUCUCCCAGGAAGCGUGCAUGCAGCACUGCUCUGGGAAGCAGAUGUAUCCUUUCCUGACCCCGGGCACAAAAGGUAAGUGGUGGCCU